Bos taurus (domestic cattle) is the source of this 1082-nucleotide long non-coding RNA. Lineage: Eukaryota; Metazoa; Chordata; Mammalia; Artiodactyla; Bovidae. The record is from Ensembl.
CAGGGAAGGCCUCCAGCGAGGAGUGCUGAGAUCACCGCAUCCUCAUUUGCCCUAUCUUGGUUUUAUUUCUCGGGGCUGUUCAACGAGAAAAUUCUUUCGAAGAGUCAGCUCUAGGCUCAGCACCAGGCUGGGUGUCAGGAGGCAGAGAUAAGAGUCCUGGUUGCUGCUUCAAUGAGGCCCAGACUCAGAGAAGCAGACAGUGUUACAACACCAAGCCGGCCAUAUGGGAGCGAUAAGCUGAGGGAGUGAACAGGCCCUGGGGACACAUCUGUCCAGUCCGGUGGAGUGUAUGCUGGGCUGACACACCUUCCUGGCCGACUGUGAAAGGAAGUGGAGGCGUGGGCCUCGAAUCGGGGAAGGUCUGGGCCAGGAGGUGAGAGGGGGCCCUCCUGUCGCUUCCUUGAGGACCCCUGCCUCCGUGCACUUCACCUUCCUGGGCCUUGUCCUGUGGAUUGAAUGUGUGUUCUUGCUUGCCUCCUCUCUCAAAGCAACAGCUAACUGCUCCCUGACCCUGGGCCCCCACAAAAGGCCAAUGCCACCCAUUGGUGAUACCAACUGGAACCCGACUGGGAACAGAGGGCAAGGGGCUGGAGGAGGCAGUCCUAGAAGCCAGCCUCCGGGCCUACAGAGCAGGGUGAGAAGGAUACAGAGAGGGUGUGGCCCUGGGUGGGAAAAUGGAAAUAAUCAGUACAAGUACUUACUGCUCAGGGGUGUGGGCUGAAUGGGGUUCCUCCAAAAUUCAUAGGCGGAGGUCCCAGUACCUCAGGAUGUGACUGUGUUUGGAGAUAGCCUCUUUAAAGAGGCAUUUAAGUUAAAAUGAAGUCAUUAGUUUGGGCCGGAAUCCAGUGUGAUGGGGUCAUAGCAGAGGACACGGACUCACACAAAGGGAAGAGCGUGUGAAGCACGGGAGAUGACGGCUGCCUCCAAACCCAGGAGAGAGACCUCCGCAGAAACUAACCCUGCCAACACCUUGAUCUCUGACUUCCAGCCUCCAGAACCGUGAGACAAUAGAUUUCUGUUGUUCAAGCCGUUUGUCCAAGCCAGUCAACAGUGUCAAUAAAUUAUUUAGCGUAUGACAUCAA